UACGUAGGGUGCAAGCGUUGUCCGGAAUUAUUGGGCGUAAAAAGCUCGUAGGCGGUCUGUCACGUCGGCUGUGAAAACCCGAGGCUCAACCUCGGGCCUGCAGUCGAUACGGGCAAACUAGAGUGUUGCAGGGGAGACUGGAAUUCCUGGUGUAGCGGUGAAAUGCGCAGAUAUCAGGAGGAACACCGGUGGCGAAGGCGGGUCUCUGGGCAACAACUGACGCUGAGGAGCGAAAGCGUGGGGAGCGAACAGG
Molecule: ribosomal RNA, 253 nt
Filed under: uncultured bacterium
Lineage: Bacteria
Description: partial 16S ribosomal RNA
Rfam family: Bacterial small subunit ribosomal RNA
Source: RNAcentral